Molecule: ribosomal RNA, 304 nt
Filed under: uncultured bacterium
Lineage: Bacteria
Description: partial 16S ribosomal RNA
Rfam family: Bacterial small subunit ribosomal RNA
Source: RNAcentral
CAGCAGCCGCCGCGGGAAUACAGAGGGUGCAAGCGUUAAUCGGAAUUACUGGGCGUAAAGCGCGCGUAGGUGGUUUGUUAAGUUGGAUGUGAAAUCCCCGGGCUCAACCUGGGAACUGCAUCCAAAACUGGCAAGCUAGAGUAUGGUAGAGGGUGGUGGAAUUUCCUGUGUAGCGGUGAAAUGCGUAGAUAUAGGAAGGAACACCAGUGGCGAAGGCGACCACCUGGACUGAUACUGACACUGAGGUGCGAAAGCGUGGGGAGCAAACAGGAUUAGAUACCCCGGUAGUCCCUGUCUCUUAUAC